RNAcentral lists this ribosomal RNA (305 nucleotides) under uncultured bacterium. RNAcentral's name for it is "bacterial SSU rRNA". It matches the Rfam family "Bacterial small subunit ribosomal RNA", at positions 338 to 660 of the family's 1533-position model. The record is from RNAcentral.
CCUACGGGAGGCAGCAGUGGGGAAUAUUGCACAAUGGGGGAAACCCUGAUGCAGCGACGCCGCGUGGGUGACGAAGUAUUUCGGUAUGUAAAGCCCUAUCAGCAGGGAAGAAGAUGACAGUACCUGACUAAGAAGCCCCGGCUAACUACGUGCCAGCAGCCGCGGUAAUACGUAGGGGGCAAGCGUUAUCCGGAAUUACUGGGUGUAAAGGGAGCGUAGACGGCUGUGCAAGUCUGGAGUGAAAGGCGGGGGCCCAACCCCCGGACUGCUCUGGAAACUGUAUGGCUGGAGUGCAGGAGAGGUAA